Drosophila biarmipes is the source of this 398-nucleotide long non-coding RNA. RefSeq lists it as uncharacterized. The transcript has 2 exons. The record is from RefSeq and is a predicted model, not a curated record. NCBI's taxonomy places the organism in Eukaryota, Metazoa, Arthropoda, Insecta, Diptera, Drosophilidae.
ACAAGGGAGUUAUAGUGAGCGCCUUGUCGCUGACACAGGGACGUUUAGAUGGCAAGACGAUCGCGUCACGACGAUGGACGCAGAGGCGAUGCGGGCACUGCGCUGAGGUUUAAGCUACUAGAGGUUAGCUGCUAGUUGAGAUGUUUUAAGAGGUCUAUUCCCAGAAAGAAGGUCAGUUUUCGAUGAUGGUAGCAGUUAGCGUAGUUUGCUCGGCUGACACUACAACAAUGUGCUGACCGCUUUUGUGGGUCAGUGCGCCGUCAGGUCAAUGACCGUCAUCAUCAAGCUAAAUGAUUAAAGUUUUACCAGCGCACCGUGUUAAUCCGCCUAAACGAGCGUUCGAAGCUACUAAAAUUGAUUACACUGGUGCGAUUAAAAUAAAGUCAUCCAAGCACAAA